This is a long non-coding RNA of Tachysurus vachellii, 543 nucleotides long. RefSeq lists it as uncharacterized. The transcript has 2 exons. NCBI's taxonomy places the organism in Eukaryota, Metazoa, Chordata, Actinopteri, Siluriformes, Bagridae. The record is from RefSeq and is a predicted model, not a curated record.
GGGAAGUGUGUCUCCUGUAAAUACCCUUCAGAGCCAGGCGGAGGAGGAGGAGGAGGGUAGUUAGGCUGGGGGCCGCAGCCAGGUGGAGGAGGCAUGUUGGGGUCCUGCGACAGGAAACGAGGAACGACAGACACCUCGUCGUGUGAGACGGACGCACAACAUGCACAGCUGCAAAAUGGAAAGCAACACACCACAACCUGUUAUUUUCACUUUAACGGCAAUAAAUUAUUGGGUGAAAUCUGUGAAUCUGUGAACACUACAGCUUUAAAGAUUAAAUCAAUGCAGAUAGAGGAUGUGUUGCAAUGUCAUAUCAGGCUCCUGUGUCCUUUUAUUCUUCCUGUUCGGUGUUUUUCUUCAUCAACAAUCUUCUUCUUCUUAUUAUUAUUAUAUUAUUAUUAUUGUUAUUAUUAUUAUUAUUAUUAUUAACAUCAACACCACCACCACCAACACCAAUAAUAUGUAAUAUUGCAUGUAGAAUAUUAAUAAAUACACUAGUAUAUCCAUAGAAAAGCCACAAUUGCAUUAAAAGCAACUUGGACAACA